This 253-nucleotide ribosomal RNA is filed under the name uncultured bacterium. Its description in RNAcentral is "partial 16S ribosomal RNA". It matches the Rfam family "Bacterial small subunit ribosomal RNA", at positions 524 to 776 of the family's 1533-position model. The record is from RNAcentral.
UACAGAGGGGGCGAGCGUUGUUCGGAAUUACUGGGCGUAAAGGGCGCGUAGGCGGCCCGCUAAGUCGAACGUGAAAUCCCCAGGCUCAACCUGGGAACUGCGUCCGAUACUGGCAGGCUUGAAUCCGGGAGAGGGAUGUGGAAUUCCAGGUGUAGCGGUGAAAUGCGUAGAUAUCUGGAGGAAUACCGGUGGCGAAGGCGGCAUCCUGGACCGACAUUGACGCUGAACGGCGAAAGCUAGGGGAGCAAACGGG